Molecule: ribosomal RNA, 794 nt
Filed under: uncultured archaeon
Lineage: Archaea
Description: bacterial SSU rRNA
Rfam family: Archaeal small subunit ribosomal RNA
Source: RNAcentral
ACUGCUCAGUAACACGUGGAUAACCUGCCCUUGGGUCCGGCAUAACCCCGGGAAACUGGGGAUAAUUCCGGAUAACGCACAUAUGCUGGAAUGCUUUAUGCGUCAAAUGGAUUCGUCCGCCCAAGGAUGGGUCUGCGGCCUAUCAGGUAGUAGUGGGUGUAAUGUACCUACUAGCCAACAACGGGUACGGGUUGUGAGAGCAAGAGCCCGGAGAUGGAUUCUGAGACAUGAAUCCAGGCCCUACGGGGCGCAGCAGGCGCGAAAACUUUACAAUGCGGGAAACCGUGAUAAGGGGACACCGAGUGCCAGCAUCAUAUGCUGGCUGUCCGGGUGUGUAAAAUACACCUGUUAGCAAGGGCCGGGCAAGACCGGUGCCAGCCGCCGCGGUAACACCGGCGGCCCGAGUGGUGAUCGUGAUUAUUGGGUCUAAAGGGUCCGUAGCCGGUUUGGUCAGUCCUCCGGGAAAUCUGAUAGCUCAACUAUUAGGCUUUCGGGGGAUACUGCCAGGCUUGGAACCGGGAGAGGUAAGAGGUACUACAGGGGUAGGAGUGAAAUCUUGUAAUCCCUGUGGGACCACCUGUGGCGAAGGCGUCUUACCAGAACGGGUUCGACGGUGAGGGACGAAAGCUGGGGGCACGAACCGGAUUAGAUACCCGGGUAGUCCCAGCCGUAAACGAUGCUCGCUAGGUGUCAGGCAUGGCGCGACCGUGUCUGGUGCCGCAGGGAAGCCGUGAAGCGAGCCACCUGGGAAGUACGGCCGCAAGGCUGAAACUUAAAGGAAUUGGCGGGGGAGA